This 428-nucleotide ribosomal RNA is filed under the name uncultured Mitsuokella sp. Its description in RNAcentral is "bacterial SSU rRNA". It matches the Rfam family "Bacterial small subunit ribosomal RNA", at positions 355 to 774 of the family's 1533-position model. Lineage: Bacteria; Bacillati; Bacillota; Negativicutes; Selenomonadales; Selenomonadaceae. The record is from RNAcentral.
UGGGGAAUCUUCCGCAAUGGGGCGCAAGCCUGACGGAGCAACGCCGCGUGAGUGAAGAAGGGUUUCGACUCGUAAAGCUCUGUUGUCGGGGACGAAUGUGGAGAUGGUGAAUAACCAUUUCUAAUGACGGUACCUGACGAGGAAGCCACGGCUAACUACGUGCCAGCAGCCGCGGUAAUACGUAGGUGGCGAGCGUUGUCCGGAAUUAUUGGGCGUAAAGGGAGCGCAGGUGGGACUUCAAGUCAGUCUUAAAAGUGCGGGGCUCAACCCCGUGAUGGGAUUGAAACUGUAGUUCUUGAGUGCAGGAGAGGAAAGCGGAAUUCCUAGUGUAGCGGUGAAAUGCGUAGAUAUUAGGAGGAACACCAGUGGCGAAGGCGGCUUUCUGGACUGUAACUGACACUGAGGCUCGAAAGCGUGGGGAGCGAACA